UUUAUUAUAUUUUUUAUUCCAAUUUUUAUCCUAACCGUCCGAUCCCAUAGACGGUCAUAAUAACCUCCACGCUUCCUCCCAGCUUACCUUUGAUUUAAUCAACUCCUCAUGGCUCUUAUACCUCCACGAUUGCAUUCUCAUCACCGUCAGAUACGUUUCCCAUCCGACGGUGGAUGCAACAUUUAACACUGAUUUGCUGCAAACUGUAGCAUUAAUAUCCCGCUCUUUCAGACCGCCAAAGGGGUCUUUCUCGCAUUUUCCCUUUUUCGAUAUCGAAGAAGAAAUGCAAGAUCAAGCAACCAGUUCUAUUGCAGCUAGUUCUCUGCCGUCCAGCAGUGAGAGAUCUUCAAGUUCUGCUCUUCAGCUCGAACUCAAAGAAGGCAUGGAAAGUGAUGAAGAGAUCCGAAGAGUCCCCGAGAUCGGCGGGGAACCUGUUGGAACGUCAGCGUCCGGCCGUGAUAGCGGUUCAGUGGCAGGUGCAGGAGUUCAGCCAUCAGGAGAAAGUCAGAGGAAGAGAGGUAGAAGUCCAGCUGACAAAGAGAACAAGCGACUAAAGAGGUUGUUGAGAAACAGAGUUUCAGCUCAGCAAGCAAGAGAAAGGAAAAAGGCUUACUUGAAUGAGUUGGAAACCAGAGUUAAAGACUUGGAGAAGAAAAACUCUGAGCUUGAAGAGAAACUGUCCACGUUGCAGAACGAGAAUCAGAUGCUCAGACACUUCCAAUCAACUACCCAAAUGUCACAGAAAGGAAUUUGAAAUUUAGAAUGAAAGUAUUCCAUUCUUUGUAUUAGGUUUGUAUCAGAAACACGGAGGAGAUAUUGAAGAACACGACGGCAAGCAGGAGAGGCGGAAGUGAUACAAAUGCCGAUGGGUCCUUAUGAGUGAUUCGUGAAUAAGACAUAUUAUGAGGUUAAAAAAAAAGAAGAUUUUGAUGUUUGAUUUUACCUUUUACGUGGAAAUAGAAAAUUUCUAAUCAAUGUUGCUUCUCCAAACUCUUCAACCCACUGGGGUAGCACAAAUUUUCAGAUUGUCAAUGUGAAGGAAUGACAAAUUAAGGAAUAAUAAGUAGUCGCAUGCGUUUGCCGGAA
This is an RNA transcript of Mangifera indica (mango), 1086 nucleotides long. It is a transcript of the gene named transcription factor HY5-like, with no coding region annotated. The transcript is spliced from 5 exons. The record is from RefSeq and is a predicted model, not a curated record. NCBI's taxonomy places the organism in Eukaryota, Viridiplantae, Streptophyta, Magnoliopsida, Sapindales, Anacardiaceae.